Molecule: long non-coding RNA, 344 nt
Organism: Silurus meridionalis
Lineage: Eukaryota; Metazoa; Chordata; Actinopteri; Siluriformes; Siluridae
Exons: 3
Source: RefSeq, a predicted model, not a curated record
GUUCACGCCAAAGUCGUGCGCGCACCCGUUUGGCAGCUCCACGUCGACAUUCCUUCAAGUAGACUCACAGGAGGCCACGGGCACGAGCGAGUCUGCAGCCGGAAGAACAGGAUGAUGAGGAGGAGAUGGAGCACGCUUAAAACUCUGGACACUUGAUCGGAAGGAUCAGGCUGGAUCCAUGGAAACACGUGUGAGGCUCCCAGACCUUGACUGAUCUAUCCUGCCUUCUAAUACAAGUCUAUAUAAUUUAAUUGUUUUAUAUGUCGUGUGGGUUGUAAAAAGUGUUGACAAAGCGAUUUUGUAAUUUCAGCCUGUCCAAUAAAAGCUACCAAUGAUUGACAAUA